This 666-nucleotide ribosomal RNA is filed under the name uncultured rumen bacterium. RNAcentral's name for it is "bacterial SSU rRNA". It matches the Rfam family "Bacterial small subunit ribosomal RNA", at positions 73 to 749 of the family's 1533-position model. The record is from RNAcentral.
GAAGAGCUUGCUCUGAGGUAGACCGAGUGGCGGACGGGUGAGUAACGCGUGAGGAACCUGUCUUACACAGGGGGAUAACGCACCGAAAGGUGUGCUAAUACCGCAUAAGACCACACUUUCGCAUGGAAGAGGGGUCAAAGGAGAAAUCCGGUGUAAGGUGGACUCGCGUCCCAUUAGGCAGUUGGCGGGGUAACGGCCCACCAAACCGACGAUGGGUAGCCGACCUGAGAGGGUGAUCGGCCACAUUGGAACUGAGACACGGUCCAAACUCCUACGGGAGGCAGCAGUGGGGAAUAUUGGGCAAUGGGCGCAAGCCUGACCCAGCAACGCCGCGUGAGGGAAGAAGGUUUUCGGAUUGUAAACCUCUGUCCUCGAUGAAAAGUAGAAGAUGGUAAUUGAGGAGGAAGCCCCGGCUAACUACGUGCCAGCAGCCGCGGUAAUACGUAGGGGGCGAGCGUUGUCCGGAAUGAUUGGGCGUAAAGGGCGUGUAGGCGGCCUGGUAAGUCUGGAGUGAAAGUCCUGCUUUCAAGGUGGGAAUUGCUUUGGAUACUGUCGGGCUAGAGUGCAGGAGAGGUUAUCGGAAUUCCCGGUGUAGCGGUGAAAUGCGUAGAGAUCGGGAGGAACACCAGUGGCGAAGGCGGGUAACUGGACUGCAACUGACGCUGA